This is a long non-coding RNA of Papaver somniferum (opium poppy), 1071 nucleotides long. RefSeq lists it as uncharacterized. The transcript has 4 exons. NCBI's taxonomy places the organism in Eukaryota, Viridiplantae, Streptophyta, Magnoliopsida, Ranunculales, Papaveraceae. The record is from RefSeq and is a predicted model, not a curated record.
UUCUUCUCUAAUAUUAGGGAUCCUGAUCUUCAUUGUUAUUGAUUAUUUGUACCAAUCAAGCCCUUUCGUGAAUCUCAUUCAUACCCAGAAAUCAUUUCUUCAUAGUACGUUACAAAUGUCCACCUACAUAAACCCUAAUAGAUCUCAUCAUCUUCCCAUGUUUCUUACGCCCCUCUCAAGAACAUUAGCUAACUAAUAAUUGUUUUUGAGUUUCCCAACUCUAAUUUUCGGGUUUCUCUUUCAAUCACACGGUCCAUAGAUCAAUUUCACAUUUCCAAGUUAUUUUCUUUGUUUUAUUUCAGAUGAAAAAAAGGUGCCAUCCAUCUCCCAUCCAUCUCAGAAAAUAGGGCGCCCAGAUUACAGCCAGCCCUUCUAAACUCCCGGUAACAGCCGCAUACAAAGCUUUCUCGCAUAUAGGCGAGGUUGAAGAAGGCAAACUUUGGACCACACGCGUUAGGAUCAUUAGGAAGUGGAAUGAAUUGCAGUUCAUGGAGACCAACAAGGUCACGAGCCUGGACAUCUUCAUGCUAGAUGACAAUGGGGAUGAACUUCAUGGGGUGGUUCCCAAGAAGUUAAUUUGGAAGUCUGAUCCGUUACUUCAUGUUGGAAGAAUAUAUUCCCUGAGGAGGUUCACUAUUCUAGGAGAGAAAAAGAUAUUUACCCAGCUCAUAAUGAACACCGCCUAUUCUUCAACUGGGUUACAAAGGUGAUUUAUAUAUUUGGCACUCAAGUUGAAAUUCCUCAUCACAAGUUCACUUUUAUCCCUUUCAAAGAUCUGGAGUCACGUUCUGCCAACACUCUUAUAACACGGAUGUUGUGGAUUUUCACUAAGGUGUUCUUCAACCUAUCCAUUCCUUAGGUGCUUGACAUUAAAGAAAGGUAUACCAUCAUUGUGUAUACUCCUUCACAUACAAAAAUGAAUCUCAGUUAUAAACCAGGUAUGGUUUGUUGAGGAAAAUAACAUCGUCGCUUCUCUUAUGGAUUCAUUAGAACCGAAAGCAUGUUGGCGCAAUGCGGAAAUGUGAUGGGUUUAUGGAAAUUAAUUUAGGAAGAGAGGUUGGUUAAUUGAAA